AUGCAGGCCAAUUUAGAAAUGGCAGGAAAUGGGGUGACUUCCAUGGGAAUGGAGCCUCUGGCCAUUCCUCACAUCUACUGCUGCUCUGAGGGCACCUGCAACUUCAGCAACACAGAGAACCACUGCCUGAGAGCGGUCCUAGAAGCUUAUGGCAUGAUUCAGGGCAUUGGCCUCAACAUUUACCACCGCUACUCACCCUGGUGGGAGGCACGUGGCUACCAGGGGCAUUACACUGCUGACAUGAGCAACCUUUUCCGAAGAUACCAGUUCAACGUGGCCACCUGG
RNAcentral lists this long non-coding RNA (285 nucleotides) under Homo sapiens (human). RNAcentral's name for it is "non-protein coding lnc-CNOT1-4:1". Lineage: Eukaryota; Metazoa; Chordata; Mammalia; Primates; Hominidae. The record is from RNAcentral.